GACCGGGUAGCUCAGUCGGUAGAGCAUCGGAAUGGCAUUCCGAGUCCCCGGGUUCGAGUCCCGGCCUGGCUACA
This 74-nucleotide transfer RNA is filed under the name Mercenaria mercenaria. RNAcentral's name for it is "transfer RNA alanine (anticodon GGC)". It matches the Rfam family "tRNA". Rfam says of the family: Transfer RNA (tRNA) molecules are approximately 80 nucleotides in length. Their secondary structure includes four short double-helical elements and three loops (D, anti-codon, and T loops). Further hydrogen bonds mediate the characteristic L-shaped molecular structure. tRNAs have two regions of fundamental functional importance: the anti-codon, which is responsible for specific mRNA codon recognition, and the 3' end, to which the tRNAs corresponding amino acid is attached (by aminoacyl-tRNA synthetases). tRNAs cope with the degeneracy of the genetic code in two manners: having more than one tRNA (with a specific anti-codon) for a particular amino acid; and 'wobble' base-pairing, i.e. permitting non-standard base-pairing at the 3rd anti-codon position. The record is from RNAcentral. Lineage: Eukaryota; Metazoa; Mollusca; Bivalvia; Venerida; Veneridae.